AGACCUUUGGUGCUGCCACAGACUGGGUUCUUACACUGAGUGUAUAGAAAGAGGAAGCAAAGUAAGCCUACCAUAAACACCUCAGCCCAGGCCCUGUGCCUUGUCUAUAUUGGGGAGGUAGAAAGGUAG
RNAcentral lists this small nucleolar RNA (129 nucleotides) under Castor canadensis (American beaver). RNAcentral describes it as "Small nucleolar RNA SNORA51 (ENSCCNG00000010057.1)". It matches the Rfam family "Small nucleolar RNA SNORA51". Rfam says of the family: ACA51 is a member of the H/ACA class of snoRNA that guide the sites of modification of uridines to pseudouridines. Lineage: Eukaryota; Metazoa; Chordata; Mammalia; Rodentia; Castoridae. The record is from Rfam by way of RNAcentral.